CUGGUACGCCUUAGGCAUUGCAUCAGUGUUGAAGGCAGGCCGUGCUAGGCGCUUUGUUCGCUCAGAAGGCCGGGGCUCGUCUGCGCUUGAGGCACUUCGAGGUCCGAGGUCCGCGGGGAGAGCAGGGCAGGCCCGCGGAUUCCGACCCCCAGCGCCGCGGGCACGCGUCACCACGGAGGCGGGUCGGAGCUAUUACUGCCAAGCCAGGGGCAGGCGACGCCCGGCGGGGCCGCAGGGCUCGGAAAGCUUCGCAGAGGCUUGGACUUCGGCUGGGUCUGCAGAAUUCGACUGAAGGAGAAGGGCUCCAGAGGGACUUCCUGGGCACCUCCUCCCAAUCCGAGGAGCCCGAGCCCCGGAAGGCCAGCCGAUUCUCCGUGACCAGACAGUUCAGUUCCACGCGAAGGGGAAGCAUCCUCGGAACCGCCCGGGCAACGCAGGUUCCGCGGGGCGGGCGCCGCCUCCCACCAGACAGGCCCGGGGCGGUCAGAGCCCGCCUGGCAGGGAGCGCACCGACAGCUCCGGGAGAGCCUGGCAACCCUCGGGGUGAGAACCCAAACUUGAAGAGCCAGCAGUCCUGAAGAUCUCCACCUGGGCGCGGAGCCAGGCCCAGCGCGCAGCGCGCAACGCGGAGAAAAGACACAAGUGUACAGCUCGCUGAAUCUUCAUAAACUGAACUCUCCCAUGAGACCAACUCCCAGAAGAAACGGAACACUACCAGCCCCCGCAAACUCCCACACGCUCCCUUCCUGUCGCUACCGCAGCUGCCGAGUCACCGCUAUCCCGGCUUCUAACAGUAUAGAUUAGUUUUGCCUGGUUUGGAACAAUUAUCAAUGGACUGAUAUAGUAUGUCUUAUGUACCUGCCUUCUUUCGAUUGUGAAAUUUAUCCAUAUUGCUGCAUGUGGUUCUGGAUCGUUCACUCUCACUACUUUAGAGUAUUCCAUUGUGUGCACACACCACAAUUAAUUUAUCCAUUCUGCUGUUGAUGGGCUUUGGGGUAGUUUCUAGUUUUUGACCGUUGUGAAUAGUGCUGCU
This 1033-nucleotide long non-coding RNA is filed under the name Equus caballus (horse). RNAcentral's name for it is "lncRNA (ENSECAG00000057132.1)". Lineage: Eukaryota; Metazoa; Chordata; Mammalia; Perissodactyla; Equidae. The record is from RNAcentral.